GAACCCAUGCAGUGAUGUAUGGCUAAAUUGACAAGAAGUCAGCAGAGGUCAUAGUACCGGAUUUUUUUCCGGGAAGGAC
This is a non-coding RNA of Sporomusa sphaeroides DSM 2875, 79 nucleotides long. The record is from Rfam. NCBI's taxonomy places the organism in Bacteria, Bacillati, Bacillota, Negativicutes, Selenomonadales, Sporomusaceae.